CCUACGGGUGGCUGCAGUAAGGAAUAUUGGUCAAUGGACGCAAGUCUGAACCAGCCAUGCCGCGUGGAGGAUGAAGGUCCUCUGGAUUGUAAACUUCUUUUAUUUGGGAAGAAACUCCCGAUUUCCAUCGGGAUUGACGGUACCAGAUGAAUAAGCACCGGCUAACUCCGUGCCAGCAGCCGCGGUAAUACGGAGUGUGCAAGCGUACUGGGGAUACAGGGGGUUUAGGGGGUUAGGUGAGGUGCAGGUGAAAUCUCCGGGCUUAACCCGGAAACUGCCAUUGAUACUAUUUGUCUUGAAUACUCUGGAGGUGAGCGGAAUAUGUCAUGUAGCGGUGAAAUGCUUAGAUAUGACAUAGAACACCCAUUGCGAAGACAGCUCACUACGGAAAUAUUGACGCUGAGGCACGAAAGCGUGGGGAUCAAACAGGAUUAGAUACCCUAGUAGUC
RNAcentral lists this ribosomal RNA (449 nucleotides) under uncultured bacterium. RNAcentral's name for it is "partial 16S ribosomal RNA". It matches the Rfam family "Bacterial small subunit ribosomal RNA", at positions 338 to 795 of the family's 1533-position model. The record is from RNAcentral.